UACACAGUAGGGAGUGGUAAGUUGAUUUAUAACAAUAUAAACAAGUCAUUAAGUCAGCAUAUUAUGAAGUGAUGAAUCAUUUGUGCAUUUGGUUAGCUGUUUAUGGAAAUAAAUUGUAUACUCUCUAUUACAGCAUAGAUUUGUAUCUCAUAAAUCCUGAUUUCUUAUGUCUUGUGCUAAAAGAAGAUGCUGGUUGAGAUCUGCACCGUGGCUAUCUGCUGGGUCAUAACAGCAAGCUGUAGUCAGUGCAUAGGUACAGUAUAAUGCUCUACGACUUGACAAAAGAGUAUAGUAACAUGUUUUGGAAUAAGAUUACUCUCUUUGUAAGCUUUGGCGAGUCAAUUGUUAAAUGUAUUACUAUACUGGACAUUUUUAGAGCCUCGUGAGACAGGUACAAACUUCUCCAUCACAGUGACCCAAGACGUUACAGUAGAGGCUGGACGGUGCAUUCCUAUAGCAUGUAAAUUCACAUACCCAGGCAAUAUUACUGAAUACGUACGAAGAGUCUGGUUCAAAGGAGAUGCACUUACACCUGUAUUUGAAAAAGAUGCAGAGGUGUGCGGUGUUGAUUGGCAGUUCCUGAGAGGUCCUGAAAGGUCUUGCAGCUUUUUCCUCGAAGACCAACAAGAAGGAGAAAAGGAGUAUAGAUUCAAGUUAACAUGGGGAGAUGAUCAAAUGUAUGUUUUUCCUGAGAGGGUACGAGUCUCAGUGUCUGCUCUAACCCAGAAGAAGCCCACUGUGGAGACACCCCCUCUCACAGAGGGAGAGAGGGCCACACUGACCUGCAAAGUAUAUUCACUCAAACUAAAUGACCUCUGCCCGCAAAGACUAGAAGAAGAUUUUGUUGGAAUAGACUGGAGAGGGACAGAGAACUUAGGCAUGUAUUGGGGGAGAAUGGAGCCAUCAACAGCAGAAAAUGUAUUCAGUGUGGCUGAGUUGUCUUUCACUCCUAAAUCCGAACAUCACAACAUCAACCUCACAUGUAUGGGCAUCUACAAGAAGGCCAACAUUACUGUGGAGAAAACGGUGACUUUAACAGUAAAAUACCGUCCCAAGUUCCUGAAUGGCUCGGUGUGUGUGGUCCAGGCAGAGGUCCUGACCUGUGUGUGUGUCAGUCAGGGGGGUUCCCUUACCAGUGAUUGCUUGGCCAAUGGUAGGGGUCUAUAUUAGUUACAGUGUCAUCGUCUCCAGGAGUGCCCAAACCGUGAACAGCACCAUCACCAUGUCUGCCUCAGAAUACAAGAACAGCAGCGUGGAGUGUGUCAGCAGAAAUGUAAUUGGCCAGAUCGAGAUGGAAUUCCCCAUACUACACCAAGCCGAAGGGAGCCUGACACAUAUCCCUGGGUCAGAGAAGAGGGAUGUUGCAGUCUUUCCCUGGAUAAUCGUUGGCUUGUCCCUCAGCCUUAAUGUGGCCCUCCUUGUCUAUCUGACCAGCGCUUGUAAAUGCAAAAAGGGUGGACAGAAGAGAGCUAAAGAAGAAGAUAGUACCUACAUCUCAUUGGACAAGGCAGACGUGUCUCCUGAAUAUGACAUCAUCUCCCCGAAUCCCCAUUGAUCCUCUGCUUGUGAUACACUUCUACUUUAUUUUAGCGUUUGGUUCUGCUUGAUUUUGCUCUUUUAUUUCAAUUUAAAUUAUUUUCUAUUGCUAUACUUUUUGUUGUUGUUGCUUGAGCCCUGAAAACAUUUUGACGUGAAUGAAUUCAACCUAUUUUCUGAAUAAUGUCUCAGGAUUUAUGCACAAAAAAUGACUAAAUUGUAACAGUUUUUCUGUAAAAGCACAUACGGAAGCUACAAGUUAGUGUUAUCUUCCUCAUGUUCAACUAUGUUAAUCAAAAUGGUAUGCAGAUAAUCAAGGGACCACAGUAUGGAACGCCGUUUGGGUCUUUCCGUGUCAAAAAAGAUACACAUCAAAUAACACUAUUUGACACAUUGAAUAAGCUUUUAAUUUGACAUGUAAAAAAAACAAUUUAAUUGUAGAAUGUUGUGAUGGACCGCAACUUCUGGGCUAGCAGCUAGCUUUAGCUUAGUCCCCAGCAAGAGGUGUUGUUCGCCUGUUGAAAUUGAACUUCAGUUCAUGACAAGAAAUAGCAAGCCAGCUCCUAAACCCUGGUGCCCAAAGUUAACGUUAUAUACUGCCAGCUAGCUUCAUGAGGCUCGACCAGACCAGGUUAUGUGUUAUGAAGCUAGCCACAAUAAGGAGUAGGCACAAUAGUGGAAUUUGCGAUUUGACUUCAAAAUAAAAGUUCCUCUUUGAAAGUGAUGCUGAAGGUAACAACUGGUGGAAUCGUGCCAUAUUUAGAUUAGAUCAUGUUAAACAAGGUUGGAAUGUGAAGCAAUGAAAUGGGGUAUCAGUCUACUCGGUGACACCCACAGAACACGACUGUGAAGAGUUUACUCAAAUAUUAGUGUUGUAGCUCUUAUUGCGGGACUGUGACUGUGUGAAAUCGCCUCCCCAGUCAGCCUAUUGUGUGUAUUGACAUUCAUAUUGUACUGUACAGCUUUACCUAAGGCUUGGGGAUCAAUGAAAUAGGGUAUCAGUCUACUCAAUACUCAAUAUAUUUUUUCCCAACGUCCUCCUCAGAGUCCUCCUUAUCAGACUCCAAAACAUCCACGUGGUAUUGUUUUUCCUCUGGAAUAGUGUUCAAUAUACAUAGCUUGACAAUAAAUGUGUCUCAGUUCAGUUGUUUCAGAGUCCAGCAAUAAGAGCUACAGUACGACGAUAAUGUUCUCUGGGUGUCCUGAGUAGACUGAGACCCCAUGUCAUUGAUCCACAAUCUAUAGGUAAAGCUGUACUGUGAAAUAACUAUUUAAUUCACUUUUAUUUAACCGGGUAGGCCAGUUGAGAACAAGUUCUCAUUUACAACUGCGACCUGGCCAAGAUAAAGCAAAGCAGUGCGACAAAAACAACAACAGAGAGUUACACAUAAA
RNA transcript from Oncorhynchus gorbuscha (pink salmon), 2928 nucleotides. It is a transcript of the gene named sialic acid-binding Ig-like lectin 9, with no coding region annotated. The transcript is spliced from 5 exons. NCBI's taxonomy places the organism in Eukaryota, Metazoa, Chordata, Actinopteri, Salmoniformes, Salmonidae. The record is from RefSeq and is a predicted model, not a curated record.